GUGAUGAAGGUUUUCGGAUCGUAAAGCUCUGUUGUUAGGGAAGAACAAGUGCCGUUCAAAUAGGGCGGCACCUUGACGGUACCUAACCAGAAAGCCACGGCUAACUACGUGCCAGCAGCCGCGGUAAUACGUAGGUGGCAAGCGUUGUCCGGAAUUAUUGGGCGUAAAGGGCUCGCAGGCGGUUUCUUAAGUCUGAUGUGAAAGCCCCCGGCUCAACCGGGGAGGGUCAUUGGAAACUGGGGAACUUGAGUGCAGAAGAGGAGAGUGGAAUUCCACGUGUAGCGGUGAAAUGCGUAGAGAUGUGGAGGAACACCAGUGGCGAAGGCGACUCUCUGGUCUGUAACUGACGCUGAGGAGCGAAAGCGUGGGGAGCGAACAGGAUUAGAUACCCUGGUAGUCCACGCCGUAAACGAUGAGUGCUAAGUGUUAGGGGGUUUCCGCCCCUUAGUGCUGCAGCUAACGCAUUAAGCACUCCGCCUGGGGAGUACGGUCGCAAGACUGAAACUCAAAGGAAUUGACGGGGGCCCGCACAAGCGGUGGAGCAUGUGGUUUAAUUCGAAGCAACGCGAAGAACCUUACCAGGUCUUGACAUCCUCUGACAAUCCUAGAGAUAGGACGUCCCCUUCGGGGGCAGAGUGACAGGUGGUGCAUGGUUGUCGUCAGCUCGUGUCGUGAGAUGUUGGGUUAAGUCCCGCAACGAGCGCAACCCUUGAUCUUAGUUGCCAGCAUUCAGUUGGGCACUCUAAGGUGACUGCCGGGUGACAAACCGGAGGAAGGUGGGGAUGACGUCAAUCAUCAUGCCCCUUAUGACCUGGCUACAC
This 821-nucleotide ribosomal RNA is filed under the name Bacillus amyloliquefaciens. RNAcentral describes it as "bacterial SSU rRNA". It matches the Rfam family "Bacterial small subunit ribosomal RNA", at positions 405 to 1219 of the family's 1533-position model. The record is from RNAcentral. Lineage: Bacteria; Bacillati; Bacillota; Bacilli; Caryophanales; Bacillaceae.